This 203-nucleotide long non-coding RNA is filed under the name Elaeis guineensis (African oil palm). RNAcentral's name for it is "long non-coding RNA (EGUI_LNC032313)". The record is from RNAcentral. Lineage: Eukaryota; Viridiplantae; Streptophyta; Magnoliopsida; Arecales; Arecaceae.
AAUCCUACCAACAGAAGACCCAAUAAGCCAAAUAACCCAUCUUUUUAGGUGAGGAGAACUAGGCACUGGGAUGAAGAGUUAAAGACUCAAAGAGUCAAAUGACCGACCUUUUCAAAUGAGGGGAACCAGACAUCAGGGAUGAAGACUUGAAAACUUGGCAAGCCAAACAACCCACCUUUUCAAGCAAGAAAAAUUAGACACCA